CAGUAGCCACGGUAAUACGUAGGGUGCAAGCGUUAAUCGGAAUUACUGGGCGUAAAGCGUGCGCAGGCGGUUAUAUAAGACAGAUGUGAAAUCCCCGGGCUCAACCUGGGAACUGCAUUUGUGACUGUAUAGCUAGAGUACGGCAGAGGGGGAUGGAAUUCCGCGUGUAGCAGUGAAAUGCGUAGAUAUGCGGAGGAACACCGAUGGCGAAGGCAAUCCCCUGGGCCUGUACUGACGCUCAUGCACGAAAGCGUGGGGAGCAAACAGGAUUAGAUACCCGCGUAGUCCCUGUCUCUUAUAC
RNAcentral lists this ribosomal RNA (301 nucleotides) under uncultured bacterium. Its description in RNAcentral is "partial 16S ribosomal RNA". It matches the Rfam family "Bacterial small subunit ribosomal RNA", at positions 509 to 807 of the family's 1533-position model. The record is from RNAcentral.